Molecule: ribosomal RNA, 324 nt
Filed under: uncultured eukaryote
Lineage: Eukaryota
Description: partial 18S ribosomal RNA
Rfam family: Eukaryotic small subunit ribosomal RNA
Source: RNAcentral
CCCUUAGAUGUCCUGGGCCGCACGCGCGCUACACUGAUGCAUUCAACGAGUCUACCUUGGCCGAGAGGCCUGGGCAACCUUUUAAACGUGCAUCGUGAUAGGGAUAGAUUAUUGCAAUUAUUAAUCUUGAACGAGGAAUUCCUAGUAAACGCAAAUCAUCAAUUUGCAUUGAUUACGUCCCUGCACUUUGUACACACCGCCCGUCGCACCUACCGAUUGAAUGGUCCGGUGAGGACUCGGGAUUUUUACCAGUUUCCCUCAUUGGGAAUUGGUGAGGAGAACUUGUCCAAACCUUAUCAUUUAGGGGAAGGUGAAGUCGUAACA